GCGCAUUCGGGGCUGCAGCGCAGGCAGCGUCGCCCCCGGAGGAGGACGUGGGCUGAGUCGUGACUGGGGGCUCGGUCCCUCCGCUGACGCUCUCACUCCCUUCUCCUCCUGCAGCGGCGGCGGCGGCUCCUCCAUCGGCCGCGCGGGCUGCGGGCUGCGGGCUCUGCUCUGCGGCCGCGGCGCUUGGACGGCUGGGUCCGGGCUCUCGCCAUGGACCCGGCAUAGGCUGGCGGCGCACCCACCGGUCCUCGGUCUGCCCCGGGGCCCGGCAGGCAUCGGCGCGGCUGCAGCGGAGAUGUUUGCUGGAACUAAUACAGCUGAUGAAAUACCUGCCCUUUUCUGCUGAAGAGGCUGGUUUAACUGAUUCGCUUUCCACAUAAGCGUGGCAAGUAGAAAAAUCAGUUUCUCAUAAUAAAAAAUAAUAGGUAAGUGAAUGUUACGGCAUUUUACUUAAUGAAGCUAUUUUCUGUUCUCAUUUUACUGGUUUUAAGGCUUGAAAUAAUUUUUU
Pipistrellus kuhlii (Kuhl's pipistrelle) is the source of this 508-nucleotide long non-coding RNA. RefSeq lists it as uncharacterized. Lineage: Eukaryota; Metazoa; Chordata; Mammalia; Chiroptera; Vespertilionidae. The record is from RefSeq and is a predicted model, not a curated record. The transcript has 3 exons.